UCAGAGCUUGCUCUGAUGAAAGUGGCGCACGGGUGAGUAAYSCGUGGAUAACCUGCCCUGGUAUCUGGGAUAAMAUCUCGAAAGGGGUGCUAAUACCGGAUAAGCCCACGGGUUCUUCGGAAUCUGCGGGAAAAGAAGGCCUCUAUUUAUAAGCUUCCGUAUCAUGAUGGGUCCGCGUACCMUUASCUAGUUGGUGGGGKAAUGGCCUACCAAGGCGACGAUGGUUAGCUGGUCUGAGAGGAUGAUCAGCUACACUGGAACUGAKACACGGUCCASACUCCUACGGGAGGCAGCAGUGGGGAAUUUUGCGCAAUGGGGGAAACCCUGACSCAGCAACGCCGCGUGAGUGAUGAAGGCUUUCGGGUCGUAAAGCUYUGUCAGAGGGGAAGAAAUGAAACSUGCUAAUAUCACGUUUUCUUGACGGUACCCUCAAAGGAAGCACCGGCUAACUCCGUGCCAGCAGCCGCGGUAAUAC
RNAcentral lists this ribosomal RNA (475 nucleotides) under uncultured Geobacter sp. Its description in RNAcentral is "partial 16S ribosomal RNA". It matches the Rfam family "Bacterial small subunit ribosomal RNA", at positions 73 to 526 of the family's 1533-position model. Lineage: Bacteria; Pseudomonadati; Thermodesulfobacteriota; Desulfuromonadia; Geobacterales; Geobacteraceae. The record is from RNAcentral.